UUUUACUUUUUAAAAAAUUUUGUACCUAAGUAUUAUGAAUAAUAAUUGUUAAUAUAUACAUAUAUGUAGUAUUUAAAACUUAAAAGAUUUGGCGGUUCUUCAUAUCCAAUUAGGGGAGUUUGUUAAUUAAUUUGAUAAUCCACAUUUUAAACUUACUUUUUUUUGAAAAUUACGAUAACAGUUUGUAUAUUGCUGUCGUUAGUUUAUGUUUUAAGAAUUAGUUAAAAAACUAAGAAAUGUUUUAAUUAUUAUGUCAAGUCAUAAUGCAGCUUAUAAAAAAGAUUUAAUGAGCUACUAUAAUUAAUAUUAUUGAUUGUCCGGAUUUUAAAUAUUAUAGUUGAUUAGUAAGGUGGACUUAAUAGUAAAUUUAUAAUUAGUAUGUGAAAUUGAAUUAAUGGUUUUGUAGAGUG
This 410-nucleotide ribosomal RNA is filed under the name Bathypolypus sponsalis. Its description in RNAcentral is "partial 12S ribosomal RNA". Lineage: Eukaryota; Metazoa; Mollusca; Cephalopoda; Octopoda; Octopodidae. The record is from RNAcentral.